GUGGGGAAUAUUGGGCAAUGGGGGAAACCCUGACCCAGCGACACCGCGUGAGGGAAGACGGCCUUCGGGUUGUAAACCUCUUUUGUACGGGAAGAAGGAAGUGACGGUACUGUACGAAUAAGUCCCGGCUAACUACGUGCCAGCAGCCGCGGUAAUACGUAGGGGACGAGCGUUGUCCGGAAUUACUGGGCGUAAAGGGCGCGCAGGCUGUGCUGCAAGUCAGCUGUGAAAUGUCUGGGCUUAACCCGGGCAUGCGGUUGAGACUGCAGUGCUGGAGUGCUGUAGAGGCAAGUGGAAUUCCCAGUGUAGCGGUGAAAUGCGUAGAUAUUGGGAAGAACACCGGUGGCGAAGGCGACUUGCUGGGCAGCAACUGACGCUGAGGCGCGAAAGCCAGGGGAGCAAACGGGAUUAGAAACCCCGGUAGUCC
Molecule: ribosomal RNA, 427 nt
Filed under: uncultured bacterium
Lineage: Bacteria
Description: partial 16S ribosomal RNA
Rfam family: Bacterial small subunit ribosomal RNA
Source: RNAcentral